This 503-nucleotide ribosomal RNA is filed under the name uncultured bacterium. RNAcentral's name for it is "partial 16S ribosomal RNA". It matches the Rfam family "Bacterial small subunit ribosomal RNA", at positions 30 to 523 of the family's 1533-position model. The record is from RNAcentral.
AUUGAACGCUGGCGGCAGGCUUAACACAUGCAAGUCGAGCGGAGUGAUGGUGCUUGCACUAUCACUUAGCGGCGGACGGGUGAGUAAUGCUUAGGAAUCUGCCUAUUAGUGGGGGACAACAUCUCGAAAGGGAUGCUAAUACCGCAUACGUCCUACGGGAGAAAGCAGGGGAUCACUUGUGACCUUGCGCUAAUAGAUGAGCCUAAGUCGGAUUAGCCAGUUGGUGGGGUAAAGGCCUACCAAGGCGACGAUCUGUAGCGGGUCUGAGAGGAUGAUCCGCCACACUGGGACUGAGACACGGCCCAGAAUCCUACGGGAGGCAGCAGUGGGGAAUAUUGGACAAUGGGGGGAACCCUGAUCCAGCCAUGCCGCGUGUGUGAAGAAGGCCUUAUGGUUGUAAAGCACUUUAAGCGAGGAGGAGGCUCUUUUGGUUAAUACCCAAGAUGAGUGGACGUUACUCGCAGAAUAAGCACCGGCUAACUCUGUGCCAGCCGCCGCAGUAA